This 64-nucleotide transfer RNA is filed under the name Eysarcoris ventralis. RNAcentral describes it as "tRNA-Gly". Lineage: Eukaryota; Metazoa; Arthropoda; Insecta; Hemiptera; Pentatomidae. The record is from RNAcentral.
AUCUUUUUAGUAUAAAUAAUUAUAUUUGACUUCCAAUCAAAAGAUCUUAAUAUAAGAAAAGAUA